RNAcentral lists this RNase P RNA (387 nucleotides) under bacterium. Its description in RNAcentral is "RNase P RNA component class A". It matches the Rfam family "Bacterial RNase P class A". Rfam says of the family: Ribonuclease P (RNase P) is a ubiquitous endoribonuclease, found in archaea, bacteria and eukarya as well as chloroplasts and mitochondria. Its best characterised activity is the generation of mature 5'-ends of tRNAs by cleaving the 5'-leader elements of precursor-tRNAs. RNAcentral also lists the same sequence under 1 other name. The record is from RNAcentral.
CGGGGCUGUCGGAGAAGCGCGCCGUUUUUUACGGUGAGGAAAGUCCGAACUCCACAGAGCAGCGUGCUUUGUAACACAAAGGCGAUGACUCAUUUCGCAAGAAAUGCGAAGUCGACGGAAAGUGCAACAGAAAAUAUACCGCCGUUUAUACGGUAAGGUUGAAAUGGCGAGGUAAGAGCUCACCGCAUUCAUGGUGACAUGAAUGGCAUGGCAAACCCCACGCGGAGCAAGGCAAAUAAGAAAGAGGUGUCUUUGGACAAUCGGAUUGCUCGUUCGAUAUUAAACUUUUUCGGGUAUGCCGCAAAGAAAUCAAUGGCAACAUUGAUUCAAGAUAAAUGCUUCUCCUCCUUCAGGAGACAGAAUUCGGCUUAUAGACAGCUUCGUCUU